This 597-nucleotide ribosomal RNA is filed under the name Methylobacterium sp. RNAcentral's name for it is "bacterial SSU rRNA". It matches the Rfam family "Bacterial small subunit ribosomal RNA", at positions 87 to 718 of the family's 1533-position model. The record is from RNAcentral. Lineage: Bacteria; Pseudomonadati; Pseudomonadota; Alphaproteobacteria; Hyphomicrobiales; Methylobacteriaceae.
GGGUGUCAGUGGCAGACGGGUGAGUAACACCUGGGAACGUGCCCUUCGGUUCGGAAUAACUCAGGGAAACUUGAGCUAAUACCGGAUACGCCCUUUUGGGGAAAGGUUUACUGCCGAAGGAUCGGCCCGCGUCUGAUUAGCUUGUUGGUGGGGUAACGGCCUACCAAGGCGACGAUCAGUAGCUGGUCUGAGAGGAUGAUCAGCCACACUGGGACUGAGACACGGCCCAGACUCCUACGGGAGGCAGCAGUGGGGAAUAUUGGACAAUGGGCGCAAGCCUGAUCCAGCCAUGCCGCGUGAGUGAUGAAGGCCUUAGGGUUGUAAAGCUCUUUUGUCCGGGACGAUAAUGACGGUACCGGAAGAAUAAGCCCCGGCUAACUUCGUGCCAGCAGCCGCGGUAAUACGAAGGGGGCUAGCGUUGCUCGGAAUCACUGGGCGUAAAGGGCGCGUAGGCGGCCGAUUAAGUCGGGGGUGAAAGCCUGUGGCUCACCACAGAAUUGCCUUCGAUACUGGUUGGCUUGAGACCGGAAGAAGACAGCGGAACUGCGAGUGUAGAGGUGAAAUUCUUAGAUAAUUCGCAAGAACACCAGUGGGCGA